Molecule: ribosomal RNA, 253 nt
Filed under: uncultured bacterium
Lineage: Bacteria
Description: partial 16S ribosomal RNA
Rfam family: Bacterial small subunit ribosomal RNA
Source: RNAcentral
UACAGAGGUCCCAAGCGUUGUUCGGAUUCACUGGGCGUAAAGGGCGCGUAGGUGGUGAGGUAAGUCGGAUGUGAAAGCUCGGAGCUCAACUCCGAAAUGGCAUUGGAAACUACCUUGCUCGAGGGUUGGAGGGGGGACUGGAAUGCUUGGUGUAGCAGUGAAAUGCGUAGAUAUCAAGCGGAACACCAGUGGCGAAGGCGAGUCCCUGGACAACUCCUGACACUGAGGCACGAAAGCUAGGGGAGCAAACGGG